RNAcentral lists this unclassified non-coding RNA (726 nucleotides) under Leishmania donovani. RNAcentral describes it as "gene:LdHU3.17.0660(CDS-product:hypothetical_prote in_conserved)". Lineage: Eukaryota; Euglenozoa; Kinetoplastea; Trypanosomatida; Trypanosomatidae. The record is from RNAcentral.
AGACCCUCCCCUACGACACCCUCCAGCAAGCCCCACUCAAAUUCAAACACAGCCCAAUUUCCCUUUUAAGGGUUUCUCGUUCGCUAUACACAGAGAGAAAUAUCAGCGUGUGGAGCCAAAACGCGACAAAAACAUGCCUCGUACCAUCAAGUGCAUCCUCUGCGCCGUAGCGCUUGUUGCUGCUUUUGCGGCAGCACUGGCGAUUACGAUGACAGUCAGGGAGAGGGUGCCAAACGGCCUCUACUGCGGCAACUACGCGAGUGGCCUUGUGGUGGGCAAUUUGACUGUAACGUACGCAACACAUUUGUUCGAUUUGGCCUUGAGGGGACUGGGCAUGAACCUUAAGUGCAAGAAUGAGGUGUUCACGUACGAUCCCAAAUCGCACAUGUUGACGGCGGUUUCUGCCAAAGACCCUUCUGACUGCAUUGGCUCAGUCAUCGCGGCAAGCGGUUUGAAUUUGAGUGUCAUCUAUAAACCUACCGCUGACCUCAUCACUCUCGAUUUUGGCAUUGCGAAGAUCGACUGCAAGAAGUGCUCCGCCUAGUCUUACGCCCAGUCUGCUUUAUGAUGCUUGCUUUCCUUUAUUCUAGAAUAUGCUUCUUUUUUUUUCUCGCCGUUUCUUCUCGCACUGAUUAACCAAGGAAACCCUUUUUUCCCAACAAGUGAAUGAGUGAACGAUGCUUAUUUCUUUAUACUUGCUUGUUGUUGCUGGCGAGGCUGAAACAG